UCUUUCCACCUCAGUCUCCCUAGUAGCUGGGACCACAGGAGCCCAUCACUAUGCCCAGCUAACUUUUAUAUUUUUUGUUGAGACUGGGUUUUGCCAGGUCAGCCAGGUAGUCUCGAAUUCCUGGGCUCAAGUCAUCUUCCUGCCUCGGCCUCCCAAAGUGCUGGGAUUACGAUGUGAACCGUGGCAUCCGGCCAGUUCUUUCUUCAAUAAUGUUUGCCCAACAGAUCUACAAGGCAGUGCUGGGAAUAGCUCAUGCUCAAUAAAUACAGCUGCUGUCAUCGUCAUUACAGUGGCCGAUAAUCCGAAGUGGUAACUACCAAGUCUUGAUGUCACAAUGGGAGCUCUGUGGUUUGAAUGGGAUUACAAAGGAUGCGACCCUGGAACUAGAAGGUGGCAGGGGCACAGAAAGCAGAGUGGGAAGGACUUAAGGCUGACUGGGGACAUGGGAACCAAGGCCAGUACAGGGAAGAGGCCACCGCCAGGAGGCUGUGGCUGCAAUUGCUCUGAAAGAGGCGGGUGCGCAAGUUGGAGACUGCUGAGCUGUCCCCUUACCUUAGUCCAUGAAGACAACAGGCUACAGUGAAAGUAACAGUGAAGCCUGUAAUUGCUUACUAUGCUGGCGUAACCAAGAGGAGAAAACGCCACUCCCCUUAUGUUCCAUUUUUUUCCCCACAGGACAGCACCAGACGAGAUUUUGCCAUGUUGCUUGGGCUGGUCUCAAACUCCUGGGCUCAAGCGAUUCUCCCACCUCAGCUUCUCAAGUACCUUCAAUUACAGACAGGAGCCAUCUCAUCCAGCAAUUUCCUUUUUAUGUAUUCACAAUGUAUAGUAGAUGAUAAAAGCCUAUUUAAGUUCCAACCCAGGAUAUCACAUUGCAUUUUGUCAUCUCGCCUUGAUUUCUUCUGGUCUAUGACAGUUUCUGUCUUUCCCCAGAUUUUCUGUCUUUCCCCAGAUAUUCUGUCUUUCUCAAGCCAUGACCUUGAGUUUUGAGGAGUACUAGUGAAGUAUUUUGUGAAUGUCCC
This 1022-nucleotide long non-coding RNA is filed under the name Homo sapiens (human). RNAcentral's name for it is "HSALNT0354978". Lineage: Eukaryota; Metazoa; Chordata; Mammalia; Primates; Hominidae. The record is from RNAcentral.